CGGCCGCGUCGACGAACGCUGGCGGCGCGCCUAACACAUGCAAGUCGAACGGAACUUGAGAGAGCUUGCUUUUUCAAGUUUAGUGGCGAACGGGUGAGUAACGCGUGAGUAACCUGCCCUGGAGUGGGGGACAACAGUUGGAAACGACUGCUAAUACCGCAUAAGCCCACAGCACCGCAUGGUGCAGCGGGAAAAGGAUUUAUUCGCUUCAGGAUGGACUCGCGUCCAAUUAGCUAGUUGGUGAGGUAACGGCCCACCAAGGCGACGAUUGGUAGCCGGACUGAGAGGUUGAACGGCCACAUUGGGACUGAGACACGGCCCAGACUCCUACGGGAGGCAGCAGGUGGGGAAUAUUGCACAAUGGGGGAAACCCUGAUGCAGCGACGCCGCGUGAGCGAAGAAGUAUUUCG
RNAcentral lists this ribosomal RNA (410 nucleotides) under uncultured bacterium. Its description in RNAcentral is "bacterial SSU rRNA". It matches the Rfam family "Bacterial small subunit ribosomal RNA", at positions 28 to 420 of the family's 1533-position model. The record is from RNAcentral.